CCACCGCGGUUAGACGAGAGGCCCCAGUUGAUAUUAUAAACGGCGUAAAGGGUGGUUAGGGGCAAACAAAAUAAAGCCAAAUGGCCCCUCGGCCGUCAUACGCUUCUAGGUGUCCGAAGCCCUAACACGAAAGUAGCUUUAAUAUACCAACCCGACCCCACGAAAGCUGAGAAACAAACUGGGAUUAGAUACCCCACUAUGCUCAGCCGUAAACUUAGACAUCCAACUACAAUUAGAUGUCCGCCAGGGUACUACGAGCAUUAGCUUAAAACCCAAAGGACCUGACGGUGUCUCAGACCCCCCUAGAGGAGCCUGUUCUAGAACCGAUAACCCCCGUUUAACCUCACCACUUCUAGCCACCCCAGCCUAUAUACCGCCGUCGUCAGCUUACCCUGUGAAGGACAUAAAAGUAAGCAAAAUGAGUAUAACCCAGAACGUCAGGUCGAGGUGUAGCGCAUGAAAUGGAAAGAAAUGGGCUACAUUUUCUACCACAGAAUAUUACGAACAUGUACCAUGAAAUAGUGCUUGAAGGAGGAUUUAGUAGUAAAAGGGAAAUAGAGUGUCCCUUUGAACCCGGCUCUGAGACGCGUACACACCGCCCGUCACUCUCCCCUGUCAAAACGCAUUAAAAAUACUUAAUACAAAAGCACUGACAAGGGGAGGCAAGUCGUAACACG
This 677-nucleotide ribosomal RNA is filed under the name Poropuntius normani. Its description in RNAcentral is "partial 12S ribosomal RNA". It matches the Rfam family "Bacterial small subunit ribosomal RNA", at positions 512 to 1495 of the family's 1533-position model. Lineage: Eukaryota; Metazoa; Chordata; Actinopteri; Cypriniformes; Cyprinidae. The record is from RNAcentral.